This 447-nucleotide ribosomal RNA is filed under the name uncultured bacterium. RNAcentral describes it as "partial 16S ribosomal RNA". It matches the Rfam family "Bacterial small subunit ribosomal RNA", at positions 28 to 523 of the family's 1533-position model. The record is from RNAcentral.
GAUGAACGCUGGCGGCAGGCUUAACACAUGCAAGUCGAGCGCCCCGCAAGGGGAGCGGCAGACGGGUGAGUAACACGUGGGAACGUACCCUUUACCACGGAACAACUCCGGGAAACUGGAGCUAAUACCGUAUGUGCCCUUCGGGGGAAAGAUUUAUCGGUAAAGGAUCGGCCCGCGUUGGAUUAGCUAGUUGGUGGGGUAAAGGCCUACCAAGGCGACGAUCCAUAGCUGGUCUGAGAGGAUGAUCAGCCACAUUGGGACUGAGACACGGCCCAAACUCCUACGGGAGGCAGCAGUGGGGAAUAUUGGACAAUGGGCGCAAGCCUGAUCCAGCCAUGCCGCGUGAGUGAUGAAGGCCUUAGGGUUGUAAAGCUCUUUCACCGAUGAAGAUAAUGACGGUAGUCGGAGAAGAAGCCCCGGCUAACUUCGUGCCAGCCGCCGCGGUAA